AGUGAACGCUGGCGGUAGGCCUAACACAUGCCAGUCGAACGGCAGCACAGUAAGAGCUUGCUCUUACGGGUGGCGAGUGGCGGACGGGUGAGGAAUACAUCGGAAUCUACUUUUUCGUGGGGGAUAACGUAGGGAAACUUACGCUAAUACCGCAUACGACCUACGGGUGAAAGCAGGAGAUCUUCGGACCUUGCGCGAUUGAAUGAGCCGAUGUCGGAUUAGCUAGUUGGCGGGGUAAAGGCCCACCAAGGCGACGAUCCGUAGCUGGUCUGAGAGGAUGAUCAGCCACACUGGAACUGAGACACGGUCCAGACUCCUACGGGAGGCAGCAGUGGGGAAUAUUGGACAAUGGGCGCAAGCCUGAUCCAGCCAUACCGCGUGGGUGAAGAAGGCCUUCGGGUUGUAAAGCCCUUUUGUUGGGAAAGAAAAGCAGCAGGUUAAUACCCCGCUGUUCUGACGGUACCCAAAGAAUAAGCACCGGCUAACUUCGUG
RNAcentral lists this ribosomal RNA (492 nucleotides) under uncultured bacterium. RNAcentral's name for it is "partial 16S ribosomal RNA". It matches the Rfam family "Bacterial small subunit ribosomal RNA", at positions 29 to 507 of the family's 1533-position model. The record is from RNAcentral.